AGGUUUUCGGACCUAGAGACCGGCGCACGGGUGCGUAACGCGUAUGCAAUCUACCUUUCACAGAGGGAUAGCCCAGAGAAAUUUGGAUUAAUACCUCAUAGUAUUAUGAAGUGGCAUCAUUUUAUAAUUAAAGUUCCAACGGUGAAAGAUGAGCAUGCGUCCCAUUAGCUAGAUGGUAAGGUAACGGCUUACCAUGGCUACGAUGGGUAGGGGUCCUGAGAGGGAGAUCCCCCACACUGGUACUGAGACACGGACCAGACUCCUACGGGAGGCAGCAGUGAGGAAUAUUGGUCAAUGGACGCAAGUCUGAACCAGCCAUGCCGCGUGCAGGAUGACGGUCCUAUGGAUUGUAAACUGCUUUUGUACGAGAAGAAACACUCCUUCGUGAAGGAGCUUGACGGUAUCGUAAGAAUAAGGAUCGGCUAACUCCGUGCCAGCAGCCGCGGUAAUACGGAGGAUCCAAGCGUUAUCCGGAAUCAUUGGGUUUAAAGGGUCCGUAGGCGGUUUAGUAAGUCAGUGGUGAAAGCCCAUCGCUCAACGGUGGAACGGCCAUUGAUACUGCUAGACUUGAAUUAUUAGGAAGUAACUAGAAUAUGUAGUGUAGCGGUGAAAUGCUUAGAGAUUACAUGGAAUACCAAUUGCGAAGGCAGGUUACUACUAAUGUAUUGACGCUGAUGGACGAAAGCGUGGGGAGCGAACAGGAUUAGAUACCCUGGUAGUCCACGCCGUAAACGAUGGAUACUAGCUGUUGGGGGCAACUUCAGUGGCUAAGCGAAAGUGAUAAGUAUCCCACCUGGGGAG
This 801-nucleotide ribosomal RNA is filed under the name uncultured bacterium. Its description in RNAcentral is "bacterial SSU rRNA". It matches the Rfam family "Bacterial small subunit ribosomal RNA", at positions 74 to 880 of the family's 1533-position model. The record is from RNAcentral.